Molecule: ribosomal RNA, 327 nt
Filed under: uncultured eukaryote
Lineage: Eukaryota
Description: partial 18S ribosomal RNA
Rfam family: Eukaryotic small subunit ribosomal RNA
Source: RNAcentral
CCCUUAGAUGCCCGGGGCCGCACGCGCGCUACAAUGGAUGAAUCAACGCGUCAUCCUGGCCCGAAAGGGUUGGGGAACCGCUGAACCUCAUCCGUGGUUGGGAUUGGGGUUUGUAAUUAUUCCCCAUGAACUAGGAAUUCCCAGUAAGCGCGAGUCAUAAGCUCGCGUUGAUUACGUCCCUGCCCUUUGUACACACCGCCCGUCGCUACUACCGAUUGGAUGGUUUAGUGAGAUCCUCGGAUUGGUCACGGCACGGUGGCAACACUGCGUCGGUGUGCCGAGAAGACGAUCAAACUUGAUCAUCUAGAGGAAGUAAAAGUCGUAACA